GUGACCUCGGAUCGGGAAAGGAAACAAAG
This 29-nucleotide ribosomal RNA is filed under the name Schizothyrium qianense. RNAcentral's name for it is "partial 28S ribosomal RNA". The record is from RNAcentral. Lineage: Eukaryota; Fungi; Ascomycota; Dothideomycetes; Mycosphaerellales; Schizothyriaceae.